GAUGAACGCUGGCGGCGUGCCUAAUACAUGCCAGUCGAGCGAACAGAUAAGGAGCUUGCUCCUUUGACGUUAGCGGCGGACGGGUGAGUAACACGUGGGUAACCUACCUAUAAGACUGGAAUAACUCCGGGAAACCGGGGCUAAUGCCGGAUAACAUGUUGAACCGCAUGGUUCUACAGUGAAAGGCGGCUUUGCUGUCACUUAUAGAUGGACCCGCGCCGUAUUAGCUAGUUGGUGAGGUAACGGCUCACCAAGGCAACGAUACGUAGCCGACCUGAGAGGGUGAUCGGCCACACUGGAACUGAGACACGGUCCAGACUCCUACGGGAGGCAGCAGUAGGGAAUCUUCCGCAAUGGGCGAAAGCCUGACGGAGCAACGCCGCGUGAGUGAUGAAGGUCUUCGGAUCGUAAAACUCUGUUAUUAGGGAAGAACAAAUGCGUAAGUAACUGUGCGCGUCUUGACGGUACCUAAUCAGAAAGCCACGGCUAACUACGU
RNAcentral lists this ribosomal RNA (496 nucleotides) under uncultured bacterium. Its description in RNAcentral is "partial 16S ribosomal RNA". It matches the Rfam family "Bacterial small subunit ribosomal RNA", at positions 28 to 506 of the family's 1533-position model. The record is from RNAcentral.